GCCGGGAUAGGGCAGC
This 16-nucleotide transfer RNA is filed under the name Coryphantha chlorantha. RNAcentral describes it as "partial tRNA-Phe". The record is from RNAcentral. Lineage: Eukaryota; Viridiplantae; Streptophyta; Magnoliopsida; Caryophyllales; Cactaceae.